This 1163-nucleotide long non-coding RNA is filed under the name Coturnix japonica (Japanese quail). RNAcentral describes it as "lncRNA (ENSCJPG00005000867.1)". Lineage: Eukaryota; Metazoa; Chordata; Aves; Galliformes; Phasianidae. The record is from RNAcentral.
GGGCAGUAUGGGGUCAGUGGGAGCCAAUAGAGUCAAUGGGUCGCUAUGGGUCCCUAUGGGGUCUCUAUGUGUCCCUAUGGGGUCUCUAUGGGUCCCUAUGGGGUCUCUAUGUGUCCCUAUGGGGUCUCUAUGGUUCCCUAUGGGUCUCUAUGGGGUCUCUAUGGGUCCCUAUGGGUCCCUAUGGGGUCUCUAUGGUUCCCUAUGGGGUCGCUAUGGGUCUCUAUGGGGUCUAUGUGUCCCUAUGGGGUCUCUAUGGGUCUCUAUGGGUCUCUAUGGGGUCGCUAUCGGUCACCAUGUGUCUCUAUGGGUCCCUAUGGGUCCCUAUGGGGUCUCUAUGGGGUCUCUAUGGGUCUCUAUGGAUCCCUAUGGGGUCCCUAUGUGUCCCUAUGGGUCUCUAUGGGUCUCUAUGGGGUCUCUAUGGAUCCCUAUGGGGUCUCUAUGGGUCUCUAUGGGGUCGCUAUUGGUCACCAUGUGUCUCUAUGGGUCUCUAUGGGUCCCUAUGGGUCCCUAUGGGGUCCCUAUGGGGUCUCUAUGGGUCUCUAUGGGGUCGCUAUGGGUCCAUACCUCGUUAUAGUCCAAUGACGAGUCGUUACACAGGGCACAGAUUGUGGCUCUAUGGGUCUCUAUGGAUCUCUAUGGAUCUCUAUGGGUCUCUAUGUGUCCCUAUGGGUCUCUAUGGGUCUGUAUGGGUCCCUAUGGGGUCUCUAUGGGGUCGCUAUGGGUCCAUACCUCGUUAUAAUCCAAUGACGAGUCGUUACACAGGGCACAGAUUGUGGCUCUAUGGGUCUCUAUGGGUCUCCAUGGGGUCUCUAUGGGUCUCUAUGGGGUCUCUAUGUGUCCCUAUGGGCCCCUAUGGGUCCCUAUGGGUCCCUAUGGGGUCUCUAUGGGUCUCUAUGGGUCCAUACCUCGUUAUAGUCCAAUGACGAGUCGUUACACAGGGCACAGAUUGUGGCUCUAUGGGUCCUUAUGGGUCCCUAUGGGUCUCUAUGUGUCCCUAUGGGUCCCUAUGGUUCCCUAUGGGUCCCUAUGGGGUCUCUAUGGGUCUCUAUGGGUCCCUAUGGGUCCCUAUGGGUCUCUAUGGGUCGCUAUGGGUCCGUACCUCGUUAUAGUCCAAUGACGAGUCGUUACACAGGGCACAGAUUGUGGCUCUAUGGGUCUCUAUG